This is a long non-coding RNA of Odocoileus virginianus texanus, 631 nucleotides long. RefSeq lists it as uncharacterized. Lineage: Eukaryota; Metazoa; Chordata; Mammalia; Artiodactyla; Cervidae. The record is from RefSeq and is a predicted model, not a curated record.
GGGGAUUCGCCCACAGCAUGUGGAAGAAUGGGGCCGGGGUGGGAGCCAGUGUGAUAAAAUACAUGGAGCACAAAAAGAGUGAUGCUGGUUCAUCCUGGGAGCAAGAAUCUUGGGGAGUGGGAUCCCCACUCCCCACUCCCCACUCCAGCUGGGCGCUGCUGACACGGGCUGGGACAUUGUGGGGUCAUCCUGAGCACUGUGGGGGGUGGAGCACACCCCUAGGCCCCCCACCCACUGUAUGCCAGGACCCCCUCCAGUCAUGACAACCACAGACAUCCCCAGACAUUGCCCAGUGUUCCUUGGGGGCAGGAUCACAAGGCUCUUUCAGGAGAACAGCUUGUCCGCGGAGAGAACUGAUAAUUGUGGGCAUUUCAACACACAUCUGAAGCAGGGGACCAACCAGGAGAAAGAAACAGUCUCUGACGUGGCACGCCGGGUUGGAGUUUGUCCCUCACACGAGGGCCACCCUCUCGAGAUAAAAGAUCCGGGAGGCGCUUUCAGCUGAAAUGUUCACAAACUCCCAGAGAACAGGGGCUAUCAGGAAAACACCGGCUGCUGGGAGGUCACUGAGCUCUGCCUCAGGAGGGAGGGCUGGUGAAAAGCUGGAAAAAUCGUUCUCAGCUAAGAAUCA